UAGGGAAUAUUGGACAAUGGGUGAGAGCCUGAUCCAGCCAUGCCGCGUGCAGGAAGAAGGCGUUAUGCGUUGUAAACUGCUUUUUGCCAGGGGAUAAAAUGACCGUGCGCGGUUAAUUGAAGGUACCUGGUGAAUAAGCCACGGCUAACUACGUGCCAGCAGCCGCGGUAAUACGUAGGUGGCAAGCGUUGUCCGGAUUUAUUGGGUUUAAAGGGUGCGUAGGUGGCCCUGUAAGUCAGUGGUGAAAUAUCUCAGCUUAACUGAGAGGGUGCCAUUGAUACUGCAGGGCUCGAGUACAGAUGAGGUAGGCGGAAUUGACGGUGUAGCGGUGAAAUGCAUAGAUAUCGUCAAGAACACCGAUAGCGAAGGCAGCUUACCAAGCUGUAACUGACACUGAGGCACGAAAGUGUGGGGAUCAAACAGGAUUAGAUACCCUGGUAGUCCCUGAGCGGGCUGGCAAGGCGCAU
RNAcentral lists this ribosomal RNA (467 nucleotides) under uncultured bacterium. Its description in RNAcentral is "bacterial SSU rRNA". It matches the Rfam family "Bacterial small subunit ribosomal RNA", at positions 355 to 825 of the family's 1533-position model. The record is from RNAcentral.